GUCCCAGCCCUAAACGAUGUCCACCAGGUACCGGGGAGUCGACCCCUUCCGGCGCCGCAGCUAACGUGAUGAGUGGACCGCCUGGGGAGUACGGCCGCAAGGUUGAAACUCAAAGGAAUUGACGGGGCCCGGCACAAGCAGCGGAGCGUGUGGUUUAAUUCGAUGCAACGCGAAGAACCUUACCUGCGCUUGACAUGGCAUUGCACCACCCGUAAUGGGGUGUCCUCUUCGGAGGCGGUGCCACAGGUGCUGCAUGGCUGUCGU
This 264-nucleotide ribosomal RNA is filed under the name uncultured bacterium. RNAcentral's name for it is "partial 16S ribosomal RNA". It matches the Rfam family "Bacterial small subunit ribosomal RNA", at positions 793 to 1055 of the family's 1533-position model. The record is from RNAcentral.